CCUUCCAGGAAAAGCCACUAAGCUUCAGCUUAAGAAAAACCGUACCGCAAACCGACACAGGUAGGCAGGGUGAGAAUCCCAAGGCGCUUGAGAGAACUCGGGUGAAGGAACUAGGCAAAAUGGCACCGUAACUUCGGGAGAAGGUGCGCCCUUUGGUGUGGUCACGUGCGUGACUGAGCAUCGAAGGGUCGCAGUAACCUGGCCGCUGCGACUGUUUAUCAAAAACACAGCACUCUGCAAACACGAAAGUGGACGUAUAGGGUGUGACGCCUGCCCGGUGCUGGAAGGUUAAUUGAUGGGGUCAGCCGCAAGGCGAAGCUCUUGAUCGAAGCCCCAGUAAACGGCGGCCGUAACCAUAACGGUCCUAAGGUAGCGAAAUUCCUUGUCGGGUAAGUUCCGACCUGCACGAAUGGCGUAACGACAGCGGCGCUGUCUCCACCCGAGACUCAGUGAAAUUGAAAUCGCUGUGAAGAUGCAGCGUUCCCGCGGCAAGACGGAAAGACCCCGUGAACCUUUACUAUAGCUUUACACUGAACGUUGAGUUCUUCUGUGUAGGAUAGGUGGGAGGCUAUGAAACCAGGACGCUAGUUCUGGUGGAGCCAUCCUUGAAAUACCACCCUGAAGUGCUUGACGUUCUAACCUAGGCCCGUAAUCCGGGUCAGGGACCGUGUAUGGUGGGUAGUUUGACUGGGGCGGUCUCCUCCCAAAGAGUAACGGAGGAGCACGAAGGUACGCUCAGCGCGGUCGGACAUCGCGCACUGUGUGCAAAGGCAUAAGCGUGCUUGACUGCGAGAUCGACGGAUCAAGCAGGUACGAAAGUAGAUCUUAGUGAUCCGGUGGUUCUGUAUGGAAGGGCCAUCGCUCGACGGAUAAAAGGUACUCCGGGGAUAACAGGCUGAUACCGCCCAAGAGUUCAUAUCGACGGCGGUGUUUGGCACCUCGAUGUCGGCUCAUCACAUCCUGGGGCUGUAGCCGGUCCCAAGGGUAUGGCUGUUCGCCAUUUAAAGUGGUACGCGAGCUGGGUUCAGAACGUCGUGAGACAGUUCGGUCCCUAUCUGUCGUGGGCGUUGGAGAUUUGAGGGGGGCUGCUCCUAGUACGAGAGGACCGGAGUGGACGUUCCGCUGGUGUUCGGGUUGUCAUGCCCAUGGCAUUGCCCGGUAGCUACGAACGGAAGUGAUAACCGCUGAAAGCAUCUAAGCGGGAAGCACGCCCCAAGAUGAGAUCUCCCGAGAGCCUGACUCUCCUAAAGGCACCAUCAAGACUAGGUGGUUGAUAGGUCAGGUGUGGAAGCGCAGCAAUGCGUUGAGCUAACUGAUACUAAUGAGCCGUGAGGCUUGACCG
Molecule: ribosomal RNA, 1342 nt
Filed under: metagenome
Description: bacterial LSU rRNA
Rfam family: Bacterial large subunit ribosomal RNA
Source: RNAcentral